CAGUCGCCACGGUAAUACGAAGGGUGCAAGCGUUACUCGGAAUUACUGGGCGUAAAGCGUGCGUAGGUGGUGGUUUAAGUCCGUUGUGAAAGCCCUGGGCUCAACCUGGGAAUUGCAGUGGAUACUGGGUCACUAGAGUGUGGUAGAGGAUAGUGGAAUUUCCGGUGUAGCAGUGAAAUGCGUAGAGAUCGGAAGGAACAUCUGUGGCGAAGGCGACUAUCUGGGCCAACACUGACACUGAGGCACGAAAGCGUGGGGAACAAACAGGAUUAGAUACCCCCGUAGUCCCUGUUUCUUAUAC
This 301-nucleotide ribosomal RNA is filed under the name uncultured bacterium. RNAcentral describes it as "partial 16S ribosomal RNA". It matches the Rfam family "Bacterial small subunit ribosomal RNA", at positions 509 to 807 of the family's 1533-position model. The record is from RNAcentral.